RNAcentral lists this ribosomal RNA (915 nucleotides) under Cellulophaga sp. PB21. Its description in RNAcentral is "bacterial SSU rRNA". It matches the Rfam family "Bacterial small subunit ribosomal RNA", at positions 121 to 1045 of the family's 1533-position model. Lineage: Bacteria; Pseudomonadati; Bacteroidota; Flavobacteriia; Flavobacteriales; Flavobacteriaceae. The record is from RNAcentral.
ACAAUCUGCCUUGCACUAAGGGAUAGCCCAGAGAAAUUUGGAUUAAUAUCUUAUGGUUUAUAAUUAUGGCAUCAUAUUUAUAAUAAAGGUUACGGUGUAAGAUGAGUAUGCGUCCCAUUAGUUUGUUGGUAAGGUAACGGCUUACCAAGACUACGAUGGGUAGGGGCCCUGAGAGGGGGAUCCCCCACACUGGUACUGAGACACGGACCAGACUCCUACGGGAGGCAGCAGUGAGGAAUAUUGGACAAUGGAGGAGACUCUGAUCCAGCCAUGCCGCGUGCAGGAAGACGGUCCUAUGGAUUGUAAACUGCUUUUAUACAGGAAGAAUAAGGACUACGUGUAGUCUGGUGACGGUACUGUAAGAAUAAGGACCGGCUAACUCCGUGCCAGCAGCCGCGGUAAUACGGAGGGUCCGAGCGUUAUCCGGAAUUAUUGGGUUUAAAGGGUCCGUAGGCGGGCUGUUAAGUCAGGGGUGAAAGUUUGCAGCUCAACUGUAGAAUUGCCUUUGAUACUGACGGUCUUGAAUUAUUGUGAAGUGGUUAGAAUAUGUAGUGUAGCGGUGAAAUGCAUAGAUAUUACAUAGAAUACCGAUUGCGAAGGCAGAUCACUAACAAUUGAUUGACGCUGAUGGACGAAAGCGUGGGUAGCGAACAGGAUUAGAUACCCUGGUAGUCCACGCCGUAAACGAUGGAUACUAGCUGUUUGGAUUUCGAUCUGAGCGGCCAAGCGAAAGUGAUAAGUAUCCCACCUGGGGAGUACGUUCGCAAGAAUGAAACUCAAAGGAAUUGACGGGGGCCCGCACAAGCGGUGGAGCAUGUGGUUUAAUUCGAUGAUACGCGAGGAACCUUACCAGGCUUAAAUGUAGAUUGACAGGUUUAGAGAUAGACUUUCCUUCGGGCAAUUUACAGUGCUGCA